RNAcentral lists this long non-coding RNA (552 nucleotides) under Equus caballus (horse). RNAcentral describes it as "lncRNA (ENSECAG00000060329.1)". The record is from RNAcentral. Lineage: Eukaryota; Metazoa; Chordata; Mammalia; Perissodactyla; Equidae.
UAGGCCCUUGGUCUUUUGCAGCCAUUGGUCCCUGGAGUGAAAUAUCGGCUCUUCUUUCUGCUGCUUUCAGACUGGAAUUUAUAUCAUCAGUGCUCUUGAUUCCCAGGCCUGACGUCUCGGACUAGAACUACACAUUGGAUCUCCUGGGUCUCCGGCUUGCCAACUGCAGAUCUUGGAACUUCUCAGCCUCCAUAAUUGCAUGAGUCAAUUUCUUACUAUGUGUGUUGAAGAUGGAAAUUACUACUGUAGAACAUCCAAGAUCUGCAAUGACAACUAUGUCACUAUGAACUCCUCUGCCACGUGUCUGGAGACUUUUCUUUAACAUCAACCUGAGUGUGCAUCUUUAUAUCAGAAAUGCAAAAAUGGAAAAGAAAAAUGUGCACUAAAGGGAUGAAGCAGCAGUGACGCCCAGGGAAUGGACAUGUGUGCUGAUUUAGACCCACUCUGCAAGUCACCUUGGAGAACCUCUCUGGUGGUGCCACAGCUAUCAGAUGGACCAUUGUUCCCACCAGCCUCUCUCGUCCCCCCUUCCACAUCAAAACCUGUACUGAC